UCCCCACAAAAAAUCCAAUUCUUUUUUGUCACCCAAAAACCACCACGCACACAUUCCAACGGAUCACUUCAUCUUCUUAGUGAAGAACCCAGCAAACGAUCCCACCAACAACGCCUGAACCUAAAAAUCCAGCGAGAAAAUCCAAUCCCCUUUGUCUCUCUCCAUAUUUGAAAAAAUUGCAAAUCUCGAGCCUGAAUUAUUGACUUUUGCUUAGAAAAAUUUUCUUCAAAUCUAAUCCGAAUCAAAGAAUAUCAAAAUGAAUCCGAAUUAUUAGGGAUAUAUAUUUUUUAAAAAUAAUUCAAAUGAACUGUUUUUUGGGCUAUAAAUUGUUGAUUUGUUUCAUUGAAAAAGGGGGGGAAUCAGGAGAGAAGUGGAGAAAUUUCGGAGUUCACCCCUUUGUUUCCUUUUUUUUUUUUACUCUUUUCCAGCUUUUGAGAUACUCCCGAAUUUUUUGUUAUCUUUUCUAAUCACUCACCCUCGUAACUCUGUGGAAGUAUAUUUUUCUCGAUUCGUAAUCCUAGUUCGUCGCCCAAAGCCAGGUAAUUUUCUUGUCGUUUUUCCUUUAAUCCUAUUUCUCUCCUUUAGUAUUUUGUUUGUGUGUUAGCUAUUUUAUAGAUGGUUAGUUUAGGAAUUAUCCUUCUCGCUUUAGUAUAUUUCUUAUGCUUUAAGUAUUUCCAGUAGCUUAAUUGUUCUGUUUCAGUCGAUGAUGGGUUCUUUUUGUCGUUCUUAUUGCUAUUACAAAGAAUGCUAAGUAUCUUGAUUUGUGUUUUAAUCUUUGCUCUCUUCGUUGUUGCUUCGAGCUUAGCUCAAUCUUCGCCUCAUUCAAUGUAAUAUGAUCUCAGUUUAAUUGAAUCUAGAUUCCAAAUGACAGCAUGAUCUCGUUCUAGCCUGCAUUUAGAUUUCGGAUAAUAGAGUGUCUCUAGUUCAUAGUUUAUUUAAAUGUCCUUCUAUGUUAGACACCAAAGAUUUUAGCUUCAUUCAUGUCUAAGUCUUAGCAUAGUAAGUUGACAAGAUUCUGUUUGUGAUUCCUUUGAAAAACAAAUGAGUAUCCUUUCAUUUGUUUGUUAAGCUAAACAUUUUUUUUCCAGAUUAUUGAACGUAUGUGGUAUGAGCUUAUGUUCUGCUAUUUCCCGUUUCUGAACCAUUUGAUAAAGUUCUGUUCUUGAACGUUUGUCCAGCAUAAUAGGAUAAGUGUGGCAUUCCAUUAACUAAUUAACUUGCAACUUUGUCUAAUUAUUAUGGCUUAAUGUGGCAGUAACAUAGCAAGCAGUUCAAGCCUCCUUUGCUUAUUUUAUCAUCUAUUUAUGGUUGUUGUCUUGUAAUUCAGAACAUGUGAACAUACAUUAGUAAUUCUAUUUAGCCGAGGUUAUAAAUCUGAAUGUGUUCUCCCUAGUUUUGAUAAAAUUUGCUCGUAAAAGUUCAUGUCUUUGACGAAUUUCUUUCUCUGUGAAAUACAUUUUUAUGGUUGAUUUAUGGAAGUCUGUUGUUUCUCAGUGGUACGUUUGAAUGAGCUUUAAUGAACACUUUAUCUAUUUGGUAUUUAGCAUUAUGUUUGAAUUGCCUUCUCUGUCUCCUCUCCCAUAAUAAAUCAUUUGAAACAUGCUCUUAAAAUCUCUCAAAAUUUGCCAGUUUGGGGUAGUAAUAUUUUUUUUUGAUUCAAAUAUAAUCAUUUGUUAAGUUUACUGAUUUAGUGAAUUAACUGAUAUUUGAGAAUUUGCGAUUUUUUUUCCUUUAGAAUAUUGAAAGAAUUUUUCUAUACUAAUUUGUGUGCUUUCUUUGCUUUGCAUGAACUCUUAUACCCGAGUCCAUUUAUACACGUUGAUAUACAUGGAAAUGUUCCACUGGCCCAAAAACGAGGCAGCCACAGAUAAGUUGAAAAUUAUGACAGGUUCAAGAUUAGGUUUAUUAAGCUACAGUUUGAAUUUGGGCAAAAGGCCUAAAUUUGUUAUUUGCUCUAUUUAAUUGCUUAUUCUUGUGAUUA
Solanum dulcamara is the source of this 1981-nucleotide long non-coding RNA. RefSeq lists it as uncharacterized. The transcript is spliced from 2 exons. NCBI's taxonomy places the organism in Eukaryota, Viridiplantae, Streptophyta, Magnoliopsida, Solanales, Solanaceae. The record is from RefSeq and is a predicted model, not a curated record.